Molecule: ribosomal RNA, 960 nt
Filed under: Streptococcus infantis
Lineage: Bacteria; Bacillati; Bacillota; Bacilli; Lactobacillales; Streptococcaceae
Description: bacterial SSU rRNA
Rfam family: Bacterial small subunit ribosomal RNA
Source: RNAcentral
AGAGAAGCUUGCUUUUCUGAUCUAGUGGCGGACGGGUGAGUAACACGUGAGCAAUCUGCCUUUCAGAGGGGGAUACCGAUUGGAAACGAUCGUUAAUACCGCAUAAUAUAAUUGAACCGCAUGAUUUGAUUAUCAAAGAUUUAUCGCUGAAAGAUGAGCUCGCGUCUGAUUAGCUAGUUGGUAAGGUAACGGCUUACCAAGGCGACGAUCAGUAGCCGGACUGAGAGGUUGAUCGGCCACAUUGGGACUGAGACACGGCCCAGACUCCUACGGGAGGCAGCAGUGGGGAAUAUUGCGCAAUGGGGGAAACCCUGACGCAGCAACGCCGCGUGCGGGACGAAGGCCUUCGGGUUGUAAACCGCUUUCAGCAGGGAAGACAUAGACGGUACCUGCAGAAGAAGCUCCGGCUAACUACGUGCCAGCAGCCGCGGUAAUACGUAGGGGGCGAGCGUUAUCCGGAUUCAUUGGGCGUAAAGCGCGCGUAGGCGGCCGCCUAAGCGGAACCUCUAAUCCCGGGGCUCAACCUCGGGCCGGGUUCCGGACUGGGCGGCUCGAGUGCGGUAGAGGCAGGCGGAAUUCCCGGUGUAGCGGUGGAAUGCGCAGAUAUCGGGAAGAACACCGAUGGCGAAGGCAGCCUGCUGGGCCGCCACUGACGCUGAGGCGCGAAAGCUGGGGGAGCGAACAGGAUUAGAUACCCUGGUAGUCCCAGCCGUAAACGAUGGACGCUAGGUGUGGGGGGACGAUCCCCCCGUGCCGCAGCCAACGCAUUAAGCGUCCCGCCUGGGGAGUACGGCCGCAAGGCUAAAACUCAAAGGAAUUGACGGGGGCCCGCACAAGCAGCGGAGCAUGUGGCUUAAUUCGAAGCAACGCGAAGAACCUUACCAGGGCUUGACAUAUGGGUGAAGCGGGGGAGACCCCGUGGCCGAGAGGAGCCAUGCAGCACCUGUCUCACGGUUCCCG